This 293-nucleotide ribosomal RNA is filed under the name uncultured bacterium. RNAcentral's name for it is "partial 16S ribosomal RNA". It matches the Rfam family "Bacterial small subunit ribosomal RNA", at positions 505 to 796 of the family's 1533-position model. The record is from RNAcentral.
GUGCCAGCAGCCGCGGUAAUACGUAGGGUCCGAGCGUUGUCCGGAUUUAUUGGGCGUAAAGAGCUCGUAGGCGGCUCAGUUAGUCGGAUGUGAAAACUCGGGGCUCAACCCCGAGACGCCAUCCGAUACUGCUGUGGCUCGAAUCUGGUAGGGGAGCACGGAAUUCCUGGUGUAGCGGUGAAAUGCGCAGAUAUCAGGAGGAACACCGGCGGCGAAGGCGGUGCUCUGGGCCAGUAUUGACGCUGAGGAGCGAAAGCGUGGGUAGCAAACAGGAUUAGAAACCCGCGUAGUCC